This 433-nucleotide ribosomal RNA is filed under the name uncultured bacterium. Its description in RNAcentral is "partial 16S ribosomal RNA". It matches the Rfam family "Bacterial small subunit ribosomal RNA", at positions 29 to 507 of the family's 1533-position model. The record is from RNAcentral.
AACGAACGCUGGCGGCAUGCCUAACACAUGCAAGUCGAACGAGACCUUCGGGUCUAGUGGCGCACGGGUGCGUAACGCGUGGGAACCUGCCCUUAGGUUCGGAAUAACUCCCCGAAAGGGGUGCUAAUACCGGAUAAUGUCUUCGGACCAAAGAUUUAUCGCCUUUGGAUGGGCCCGCGUUGGAUUAGCUAGUUGGUAGGGUAAAAGCAUACCAAGGCGACGAUCCAUAGCUGGUCUGAGAGGAUGAUCAGCCACACUGGGACUGAGACACGGCCCAGACUCCUACGGGAGGCAGCAGUGGGGAAUAUUGGACAAUGGGCGAAAGCCUGAUCCAGCAAUGCCGCGUGAGUUAUGAAGGCCUUAGGGUUGUAAAGCUCUUUUACCCGGGAUGAUAAUGACAGUACCGGGAGAAUAAGCUCCGGCUAACUCCGUG